Syngnathus typhle (broad-nosed pipefish) is the source of this 455-nucleotide long non-coding RNA. RefSeq lists it as uncharacterized. The transcript is spliced from 3 exons. The record is from RefSeq and is a predicted model, not a curated record. Lineage: Eukaryota; Metazoa; Chordata; Actinopteri; Syngnathiformes; Syngnathidae.
UGUGCCUGCAACAAAGGCGCAUUAAGCUCUGUGUUUUUUGCGUGGCAGUUGUUUGACAGUUUUGUUGGCAUAUCACAAAGUCAAAAUGUACCUUUGACCGUCGACGGUGCACAAGGAGACGGCCCACAAGUCCGGGCUGAAGCGCGCAAGCUGGGGAAUGUAGUCGGCCACCUGCAGGAAGAGUUCCCGUUCGUUCAUGUGGCGGCAAAACGGUUGGAAGUCGGGAAUGACGAAUUUCUUCCGAAAGGCUUGAAGCCCACUUGACCCCAUUGACCUUUGCUUAUCAUGAGGGCGGCGGUCCGGUCCCAAGCAUAUGAACCACUACGAAACGCACUCCCUCUAUCGCAAGGCCAACACAAACUAAUGCUUUCACUUUGAUGGAAAAGGGGGCGGAGCUUAGUCUGGCUACUUGCUGAGCUCCAAUUUAUUAAAAAUAAAAAAAAGCAAAUCAUGAA